RNAcentral lists this ribosomal RNA (578 nucleotides) under uncultured eubacterium OCG6. RNAcentral describes it as "bacterial SSU rRNA". It matches the Rfam family "Bacterial small subunit ribosomal RNA", at positions 338 to 916 of the family's 1533-position model. The record is from RNAcentral.
CCUACGGGAGGCAGCAGUGAGGAAUAUUGGUCAAUGGGCGAGAGCCUGAACCAGCCAAGUCGCGUGAAGGAAGAAGGUUCUAUGGAUUGUAAACUUCUUUUGCAGGGGAAUAAAGUUCGCUACGAGUAGCGAUUUGUAAGUACCUUGCGAAUAAGGAUCGGCUAACUCCGUGCCAGCAGCCGCGGUAAUACGGAGGAUCCGAGCGUUAUCCGGAUUUAUUGGGUUUAAAGGGUGCGCAGGCGGGCCUUUAAGUCAGUGGUGAAAGUUUGCAGCUCAACUGUAAAAUUGCCAUUGAAACUGAGGGUCUUGAGUGUAAAUGAGGUAGGCGGAAUGUGUUGUGUAGCGGUGAAAUGCUUAGAUAUAACACAGAACACCAAUUGCGAAGGCAGCUUACUGGGAUACAACUGACGCUCAGGCACGAAAGCGUGGGGAUCAAACAGGAUUAGAUACCCUGGUAGUCCACGCAGUAAACGAUGAAUACUAGCUGUAUGCGAUAUACWGUAUGUGGCAAAGCGAAAGCGUUAAGUAUUCCACCUGGGGAGUACGUUCGCAAGAAUGAAACUCAAAUGAAUUCACGG